GGCUGGGUAGCUCAGGUGGUUAGAGUGUGGUGCUGAUGACACCAAGGUCCCAGGUUCGAUCCCUGUCCCGGCCA
Molecule: non-coding RNA, 74 nt
Organism: Galeopterus variegatus (Sunda flying lemur)
Lineage: Eukaryota; Metazoa; Chordata; Mammalia; Dermoptera; Cynocephalidae
Source: the annotation of a RefSeq genome assembly